Molecule: ribosomal RNA, 479 nt
Filed under: uncultured bacterium
Lineage: Bacteria
Description: bacterial SSU rRNA
Rfam family: Bacterial small subunit ribosomal RNA
Source: RNAcentral
AUUCGCCCUUCCAGACUCCUACGGGAGGCAGCAGUGGGGAAUAUUGCACAAUGGGCGGAAGCCUGAUGCAGCAACGCCGCGUGCGGGAUGACGGCCUUCGGGUUGUAAACCGCCUUCGCCUGUGACGAAGCGUGAGUGACGGUAAUGGGUAAAGAAGCACCGGCUAACUACGUGCCAGCAGCCGCGGUGAUACGUAGGGUGCGAGCGUUGUCCGGAUUUAUUGGGCGUAAAGGGCUCGUAGGUGGUUGAUCGCGUCGGAAGUGUAAUCUUGGGGCUUAACCCUGAGCGUGCUUUCGAUACGGGUUGACUUGAGGAAGGUAGGGGAGAAUGGAAUUCCUGGUGGAGCGGUGGAAUGCGCAGAUAUCAGGAGGAACACCAGUGGCGAAGGCGGUUCUCUGGGCCUUUCCUGACGCUGAGGAGCGAAAGCGUGGGGAGCGAACAGGCUUAGAUACCCUGGUAGUCCACGCUGUAAACGGUGG